RNAcentral lists this ribosomal RNA (249 nucleotides) under uncultured prokaryote. RNAcentral's name for it is "partial 16S ribosomal RNA". It matches the Rfam family "Bacterial small subunit ribosomal RNA", at positions 524 to 772 of the family's 1533-position model. The record is from RNAcentral.
UACGGAGGAUGCAAGCGUCAUCCGGAUUUAUUGGGUUUAAAGGGUGCGCAGGUUGUUUGAUAAGUCAGUGGUGAAAGUCUGUCGCUUAACGGUAGGAUUGCCAUUGAUACUGUUGGACUUGAAUAUGGAUGAGGUAGGCGGAAUGUGUAGUGUAGCGGUGAAAUGCAUAGAUAUUACACAGAACACCGAUUGCGAAGGCAGCUUACUAAUCCAUCAUUGACGCUGAGGCACGAAAGCGUGGGGAUCAAA